UUUCACCUGCAAGCAGAGAAGCAGAAGGGGGAAACACAGUUAGCCAUGAUUUUUACAGAACAAAAUUGACAAAUGGAAUGACAAAUGCUUCAAGUGAAGCAAAUGUCAGCAGGAGCAGCCGCAGCUUCUUGUCGCGCCUGCUGCAUGUAUGCGCAAAUUAACAUUUUCAUUGGCUUUUCAUGUUAGUUGGAGAACAAUCACAACACGACAACAGCAACAACAACAACAACAACAGCAACAUCUAUAACAACAAGCAAACAGCAGCUGCUCUGGCACACGACUUGCCGCUGCUGACGACGAUGGCCCAACAACAACAGUAACAACAACAACAACAACAGCAAUAACAAUAACAAGAGACAACACGACGACAUUUGGCGAGUCGAGCUACAAAAUUGUAAACGAAAUUGCGACCGGCCGGUGCCCAAAUGUUUCUCCGCUGGCUUCGCUGCUCUAUGACUAAUUCACUGCGAGCGGGCAGCCGGCUGUGAGCAGAGCAUUACAACUCAACGGCAACAACAACAACAACAACAGCAGCAAUAUCAACAUAAACAUAAACAUUCGUGUUCGAAUUGAAAUUGAAUGAAAUAAUUAUUGCGCUGCUUUAAAUUUUGUGAACUUGA
Molecule: long non-coding RNA, 620 nt
Organism: Drosophila mojavensis
Lineage: Eukaryota; Metazoa; Arthropoda; Insecta; Diptera; Drosophilidae
Exons: 2
Source: RefSeq, a predicted model, not a curated record